RNAcentral lists this ribosomal RNA (253 nucleotides) under uncultured bacterium. RNAcentral's name for it is "partial 16S ribosomal RNA". It matches the Rfam family "Bacterial small subunit ribosomal RNA", at positions 524 to 776 of the family's 1533-position model. The record is from RNAcentral.
UACAGAGGGUGCGAGCGUUAAUCGGAAUUACUGGGCGUAAAGCGUGCGUAGGCGGUUGUCUAAGUUUGGUGUGAAAUCUCCUGGCUUAACUGGGAGGGUGCGCCGAAAACUGGGUGACUGGAGUGUCGGAGAGGUAAGCGGAAUUCCUGGUGUAGCGGUGAAAUGCGUAGAGAUCAGGAGGAACACCUGUGGUGUAGACAGCUUACUGGACGAUAACUGACGCUGAGGCACGAAAGCGUGGGUAGCAAACAGG